AACGCACAUUGCGCCCUCUGGUAUUCCGGGGGGCAUGCCUGUUCGAGCGUCAUUACAACCCUCAAGCUCUGCUUGGUAUUGGAUCUGAUCCCCAACGGAAUCGAUCUCAAAGACAUUGGCGGUGUCCAACGUAGCCUUGGAGCGUAGUAAUUCUUAAUACCCGCUUUUCAAGUUACUUGGCCACUUGCCUUGACCAGUCAUUUUAAUCGGUUGACCUCGGAUCAGGUAGGGAUACCCGCUGAACUUAA
RNAcentral lists this unclassified non-coding RNA (248 nucleotides) under Mycoenterolobium sp. RNAcentral's name for it is "partial contains 5.8S ribosomal RNA, internal transcribed spacer 2, and large subunit ribosomal RNA". The stretch from base 1 to 52 matches the Rfam family "5.8S ribosomal RNA", at positions 103 to 154 of the family's 154-position model. The record is from RNAcentral. Lineage: Eukaryota; Fungi; Ascomycota.